Molecule: unclassified non-coding RNA, 200 nt
Filed under: Apiosporaceae sp.
Lineage: Eukaryota; Fungi; Ascomycota; Sordariomycetes; Amphisphaeriales; Apiosporaceae
Description: partial internal transcribed spacer 2
Source: RNAcentral
UUAAGUUCAGCGGGUAUUCCUACCUGAUCCGAGGUCAACCACUAAAAAAUUGGGGGUUUUAUGGCGGGAGGACAGAGCCUGACAAAAGCGAGAAAUAAAUUACUACGCUCAGAGGACUACCGCCGCUCCGCCACUGUCUUUAAGGAACUGCAGUACAGCAGAUUCCCAACACUAAGCUAGGCUUAAGGGUUGAAAUGACG